This 626-nucleotide long non-coding RNA is filed under the name Equus caballus (horse). RNAcentral's name for it is "lncRNA (ENSECAG00000050297.1)". Lineage: Eukaryota; Metazoa; Chordata; Mammalia; Perissodactyla; Equidae. The record is from RNAcentral.
GAAUCUUUCAGGCAUUUAGACAGAAAUGAGCAGGUUACUAGUGAAACAGACAUCAAGCUGGUCUCAGACUUCUCAAUUCUGAAGGCUGAAAGACUGUUCUAGAAGACCAGGUUGUGUCUCAAGAAUUCCAUGUUCACCCAACAUGGCGUUCAUGUGCAAAGGCUGUAGGAAUUCAUCUUCAGAUUUACAGGAGGCAGAAAAUAUACCCCACCUGGUCCCUUCUUGAAAAAAAGGUGUUUGAAUUUGUAGUCCCAUUGAUCAACAGGUGAACUGGCAUGAGGACGCACACACAAAAGUAUAAAAGGACUUGCGUUUCCUUUUCAAGUGAGGAAAAAUGCUGGCCCCAGUGAAAGGGAGCAGCAGUCAGAGGAAACUCAAACCAAGCUGACUGUGGGGAGUCCAAGAUGAGCCCCUAGAGAUAGCAUGGCAGAGGCUGCGUGCUCCUGUGGAAGCCCCUAGCUAGGAACAAGAAAAUCUGGUUUCUGUAUGUGCCUCCAACAUUUAUUGACUGGAACCUUCACACAAUUACUUAACAUCUGUAAACUUCAGUUUCUUCUUCUGUAAGAUGGAGAUAAUGCCCAUUUUAAUAAAGCUCCUUGACAUGGGUUUUGGUAAUGAGUUUCUGG